RNAcentral lists this ribosomal RNA (460 nucleotides) under uncultured bacterium. Its description in RNAcentral is "partial 16S ribosomal RNA". It matches the Rfam family "Bacterial small subunit ribosomal RNA", at positions 338 to 795 of the family's 1533-position model. The record is from RNAcentral.
CCUACGGGUGGCUGCAGUGAGGAAUAUUGGUCAAUGGCCGAGAGUCUGAACCAGCCAAGUAGCGUGAAGGAAGACUGUCCUAUGGAUUGUAAACUUCUUUUAUCAAGGAAUAAAGUCACGCACGUGUGCCUUUUUGCAUGUACUUUAUGAAAAAUGAUCGGCUAACUCCGUGCCAGCAGCCACGGUAAUACGGAGGAUCCGAUCGUUAUCCGGAUUUAUUGGGUUUAAAGGGAGCGUAGACGGGUUGUUAAGUCAGGUGGGAAAUUUUGCGGCUCAAACGUAAAAUUGCAAUUGAUACUGUCAGUCUUGAGUACAUGUGAGGUAGGCGGAAUUCGUGGUGUAGCGGUGAAAUGCUUAGAUAUCACGAAGAACCCCGAUUGCGAAGGCAGCUUACUAAACUGCGACUGACAUUGAUGCUCGAAAGUGUGGGUAUCAAACAGGAUUAGAUACCCGAGUAGUC